GGGUUGUGAGGUUAAGCGACUAAGCGUACACGGUGGAUGCCCUGGCAGUCAGAGGCGAUGAAGGACGUGCUAAUCUGCGAUAAGCGUCGGUAAGGUGAUAUGAACCGUUAUAACCGGCGAUUUCCGAAUGGGGAAACCCAGUGUGUUUCGACACACUAUCAUUAACUGAAUCCAUAGGUUAAUGAGGCGAACCGGGGGAACUGAAACAUCUAAGUACCCCGAGGAAAAGAAAUCAACCGAGAUUCCCCCAGUAGCGGCGAGCGAACGGGGAGCAGCCCAGAGCCUGAAUCAGUGUGUGUGUUAGUGGAAGCGUCUGGAAAGGCGCGCGAUACAGGGUGACAGCCCCGUACACAAAAAUGCACAUACUGUGAGCUCGAUGAGUAGGGCGGGACACGUGGUAUCCUGUCUGAAUAUGGGGGGACCAUCCUCCAAGGCUAAAUACUCCUGACUGACCGAUAGUGAACCAGUACCGUGAGGGAAAGGCGAAAAGAACCCCGGCGAGGGGAGUGAAAAAGAACCUGAAACCGUGUACGUACAAGCAGUGGGAGCACGCUUCGGCGUGUGACUGCGUACCUUUUGUAUAAUGGGUCAGCGACUUAUAUUCUGUAGCAAGGUUAACCGAAUAGGGGAGCCGAAGGGAAACCGAGUCUUAACUGGGCGUUAAGUUGCAGGGUAUAGACCCGAAACCCGGUGAUCUAGCCAUGGGCAGGUUGAAGGUUGGGUAACACUAACUGGAGGACCGAACCGACUAAUGUUGAAAAAUUAGCGGAUGACUUGUGGCUGGGGGUGAAAGGCCAAUCAAACCGGGAGAUAGCUGGUUCUCCCCGAAAGCUAUUUAGGUAGCGCCUCGUGAAUUCAUCUCCGGGGGUAGAGCACUGUUUCGGCAAGGGGGUCAUCCCGACUUACCAACCCGAUGCAAACUGCGAAUACCGGAGAAUGUUAUCACGGGAGACACACGGCGGGUGCUAACGUCCGUCGUGAAGAGGGAAACAACCCAGACCGCCAGCUAAGGUCCCAAAGUCAUGGUUAAGUGGGAAACGAUGUGGGAAGGCCCAGACAGCCAGGAUGUUGGCUUAGAAGCAGCCAUCAUUUAAAGAAAGCGUAAUAGCUCACUGGUCGAGUCGGCCUGCGCGGAAGAUGUAACGGGGCUAAACCAUGCACCGAAGCUGCGGCAGCGACACUAUGUGUUGUUGGGUAGGGGAGCGUUCUGUAAGCCUGUGAAGGUGUGCUGUGAGGCAUGCUGGAGGUAUCAGAAGUGCGAAUGCUGACAUAAGUAACGAUAAAGCGGGUGAAAAGCCCGCUCGCCGGAAGACCAAGGGUUCCUGUCCAACGUUAAUCGGGGCAGGGUGAGUCGACCCCUAAGGCGAGGCCGAAAGGCGUAGUCGAUGGGAAACAGGUUAAUAUUCCUGUACUUGGUGUUACUGCGAAGGGGGGACGGAGAAGGCUAUGUUGGCCGGGCGACGGUUGUCCCGGUUUAAGCGUGUAGGCUGGUUUUCCAGGCAAAUCCGGAAAAUCAAGGCUGAGGCGUGAUGACGAGGCACUACGGUGCUGAAGCAACAAAUGCCCUGCUUCCAGGAAAAGCCUCUAAGCAUCAGGUAACAUUAAAUCGUACCCCAAACCGACACAGGUGGUCAGGUAGAGAAUACCAAGGCGCUUGAGAGAACUCGGGUGAAGGAACUAGGCAAAAUGGUGCCGUAACUUCGGGAGAAGGCACGCUGAUAUGUAGGUGAAGUCCCUCGCGGAUGGAGCUGAAAUCAGUCGAAGAUACCAGCUGGCUGCAACUGUUUAUUAAAAACACAGCACUGUGCAAACACGAAAGUGGACGUAUACGGUGUGACGCCUGCCCGGUGCCGGAAGGUUAAUUGAUGGGGUUAGCGGUAACGCGAAGCUCUUGAUCGAAGCCCCGGUAAACGGCGGCCGUAACUAUAACGGUCCUAAGGUAGCGAAAUUCCUUGUCGGGUAAGUUCCGACCUGCACGAAUGGCGUAAUGAUGGCCAGGCUGUCUCCACCCGAGACUCAGUGAAAUUGAACUCGCUGUGAAGAUGCAGUGUACCCGCGGCAAGACGGAAAGACCCCGUGAACCUUUACUAUAGCUUGACACUGAACAUUGAGCCUUGAUGUGUAGGAUAGGUGGGAGGCUUUGAAGUGUGGACGCCAGUCUGCAUGGAGCCGACCUUGAAAUACCACCCUUUAAUGUUU
Molecule: ribosomal RNA, 2199 nt
Filed under: Escherichia coli
Lineage: Bacteria; Pseudomonadati; Pseudomonadota; Gammaproteobacteria; Enterobacterales; Enterobacteriaceae
Also listed under: 1 other name
Description: partial 23S ribosomal RNA
Rfam family: Bacterial large subunit ribosomal RNA
Source: RNAcentral